Molecule: transfer RNA, 87 nt
Filed under: Heliconius melpomene (postman butterfly)
Lineage: Eukaryota; Metazoa; Arthropoda; Insecta; Lepidoptera; Nymphalidae
Description: tRNA HMEL006837
Rfam family: tRNA
About the family: Transfer RNA (tRNA) molecules are approximately 80 nucleotides in length. Their secondary structure includes four short double-helical elements and three loops (D, anti-codon, and T loops).
Source: RNAcentral
CCUUCGAUAGCUCAGUUGGUAGAGCGGUGGACUGUAGUCGGUGCAUCUGAAAUCCAUAGGUCGCUGGUUCAAAUCCGGCUCGAAGGA